Long non-coding RNA from Capsella rubella, 3450 nucleotides. RefSeq lists it as uncharacterized. NCBI's taxonomy places the organism in Eukaryota, Viridiplantae, Streptophyta, Magnoliopsida, Brassicales, Brassicaceae. The transcript is spliced from 3 exons. The record is from RefSeq and is a predicted model, not a curated record.
UCUGAAUUUUGUUUUGCAUUCUUCUUUCUCUGUUUUGCAUAUUUCUCUCGAUCGUUUUGAAGUCGAGUCUCUCGCAAGAAAAUUUGUAGAAGAAGAAGCUUUGUAGCUAUGAUCACGGUAAGAUCCUCCAAUUCUCUUUCUUUUUUUUUGGGUUUCUAAAUUUCAUUCCUAGUUGUUUUGUGUGUAUUUUGUUUUUGUUUUUCGUUUUUUUGUUUUGAAUCGGCUUUGAUAUUCACAUAACCAAACGAAUUGCGACUCCGCGUUCCAAGGUUUAUAUGAAUUGAAUUACAAGUUCGAUUAAUUCUUUUUGGUUUAUUGAUAUUCACAUAACCAAACGAAUUGCGACUCCGCGUUCCAAGGUUUAUUGUUGUCUUUUCUUUUUGGAUUUGGAACAAUCCCUUUUACCCACGGCUUAUAAAAAUUAUCAGUCUUUGUGACUGAUAUUAGGAAAAGACAAUCCUUUUUACCCACGGCUUAUAAAAAUUAUCAGUCUUUGUGACUGAUAUUGGGAAAAGACGAUCCCUUUUACCCACAGCUUAUAAAAAUUAUCAGUUUUUGUGACUGAUAUUGGGAAAAGACAAUCCCCUUUACCCACAGCUUAUAUAAAAAUUGUCAGUCUUUGUGACUGAGAUUGGGAAUCAUAACGCGUUGGUUAAAUUGGACACGGCUAAUACUUUGGUUGGAUGUUAAGUCUGUUAGAGAAAGAAGUAGAACACUGUGGUUGGAUUGGUCCUAACGGCUUGUAAAAGUCAUUAGUCUGUGUGACUGAUGCUGGUUGGAUUGGUUCUAGUUAUCCAAAGCUUAUAACAAUCAUCAGUCUGUGUGACUCAGAUUGUGAAAAAAACAAACCUUCUACCCACUAGCUCAAAAAAAAUCAGCAGUCUCUGUGACUGAUAUUGGGAAAUAUAAGACCUUGGGUGGAUUUAUCCACUGACUUAAAAAAAUCAGCAGUCUUUAUGACUGAGAUUGGGAAACAUAACGCGUUGGUUAAAUUGGACACGCUAACACUUUGGUUGGAUGUUAAGUCUUUUAGAGAAAGAAGCAGAACACUUUGGUUGGAUUGGUUCGAGUUACCCAAAGCUUGUAAAAAUCAUCAGUCUGUGUGACUGAGAUUGUGAAAAAACAAACUUUUUACCCAUUGGCUCAAAAAAAUCAGCAGUCUAUGUGACUGAUAUUGGGAAACAUAAGACCUUGGCUGGAUUUAUCCACUGACUUAAAAUUCAACAGUUUUUGUGACUGAGAUUGGAAAACAUAACACCUUCGUUGUAUUGGAUUUUGUACCCACGACUAAAACUUUGGUUGGAUGUUAAGUCAUUUGGACGAAAGAAGCAGAACAUUUUGGUUGGAUGUUAAGUCUUUUUGACGAAAGAAGCAGAACACUUUGCUUGGAUUGGUUUUAGUUACCCACAACUAAUAAAAAUCAUUAGUCUGUGUGACUGAGAUUGUGAAAAAACAAAUCUUUUACCCACUGGCUUAAAAAAAUCAUCGUUCUUUGUGACUGAGAUUGUGAAACAUAACAAACCCUUUACCCAUUGGCUUUUAAAAAAAAUCAUUAGUCUUUGUGACUGAGAUUGAGAAACAUAACACUUCGGUCGGAUAGGCUUAAGUACCCACGGCUAACACUUUGGUUGGAUGUUAAGUCAUUUAGACAGAAGAAGCAGAACACUUGUGUUAGAUUGGUUUUAGAGCUUAUAAAAAUCAUCAUCUCUGUGACAGAGAUUGGAGAAAAACAAACCCUUUACCUAUCGGCCCAAAAAAUUCAGCAGUCUUUGUGACUGAGAUUGUGAAACAUAAUACCUUGGUUGGAUUGGCUUUAGUACCCACAGCGAUCACUUUGGUUGAAUGUUAAAUCAUUUAGACGAAAGAAGCAUAACACUUUGGUUGGAUAUUAAGUCUUUUAGACAAAAGAAGCAGAACACUCUGGUUGGAUUGGUUUUAUUUACCGAGAGCUUAUGAAAAUUAUUAGUCUGUGUGACUGAGAUUAGAAGGAAAAACAAAUCCUUUACCCACUGGCUCCAAAAAUCAGCAGUCUUUGUGACUGAGGUUGGGAAACAUAACACCUUGGUUGGAUACCCACUGACUUAAAAAGAUCACCAGUCUUUGUGACUGAGAUCGUGAAACAUAACCCUUGGUUAGAUUGGCUUUAGUACCCACAACUAUCACUUUGUUUGGAUGUUAAAUCAUUUAGACGAAAGAAGCAUAACACUUUGGUUGGAUAUUAAGUCUUUUAGACAAAAGAAGCAGAACACUCUGGUUAGAUUGGUUUUAGUUACCGAGAGCUUAUAAAAAUCAUUAGUCUGACUGAGAUUGGAAAAAAACCAAAUCCUUUACCCAUUGGCUCCAAAAAUCAGCGGUCUUUGUGACUAGAUUGGGAAACAUAACACCUUGGUUGGAUUUACCCACUCACUUUAAAAAAUCAGCAGUCUUUGUGACUGAGAUUGUGAAACAUAACACCUUGGUUGGAUUGGCUUUAGUACCACGUCUAACACUUUGGUUCGACGUUAAGUCAUUUAGACGAAAGAUGCAUAACACUUGGGUUGAUUGGUUAUAGUUACCGUGAGCUUAUAAAACUCAUCAGUCUGUGUGAUUGAGAUUAGAUAAAACAAACUCUUUACCCAUUGGCUCAAAAAAGUCAGCAGUCUUUGUGACUGAGAUUGAGAAACAUUACACCUUGUUGGAUUUACCUACUGACUUAAAAAAAUCAGCAGUCAGUGAUCUUGAAUUUGGUGUUAAUGGUGUGUACUGUGUAGUUUCAAUUUAUCAUACACAUUGUUAAUUAUGUAGGCAGAAUCCAACAUGUGGCAUAGGCUCCCUGAUCUCUGCUACCAUAAAUUGUUUUUGUCAACAACCUGAACUUCCUAAAGAGUGAAUAAGCAGACAGACAAAAAGUGCAGCUGUGAAGAUCUUCCUAUGGAGCUUUGUAAACUAAGAAUGAAGAAGUUCCAAAAUAAUUAAAUCCAAAAGAUCUUCCCAUGGAGCUUGGUUGUGAAAAGGCUAACUGAGAUUUCUCCAACAUACACCCAUUGUUGCAAAAGCUUUCCCUGCGUUUUUGCAAACAAACGAAAUGUCACCAUGAUGUAUGAGAAUAGUUUCAAGAGCUUGGCUCGAGUUCUUUACCUUGUGGUGUCAAGUAACAGUGUGGCUAUGCCUUUUCUUCUGUUAGAAGCACAAUGUUUCCAAACUGAAUGGAGGUUGAAGGCGAGGAGGAGCUCUCUUUCUUUAUCUGUCUUUCAUCAUCAGGAGGAGCUAUAAGCUUAAAUGCUUCCUUAAUUGGCUCUGCAACUAGACAUCCAGAGAUCCUCUGAGAGGAAACGAAUAGAUAAACCUACAGAUAACAAGGUAGUCCUUGAAACAACUGAGAAAGUAAAUGGAGGCUAUUCACAACAUUUGGGCUAUAUCUCUUUCUUGUGAAUCUACUGAACGAGAUAAUCAACGAAAUUCCUUUCUAUA